This 486-nucleotide ribosomal RNA is filed under the name uncultured bacterium. RNAcentral's name for it is "bacterial SSU rRNA". It matches the Rfam family "Bacterial small subunit ribosomal RNA", at positions 29 to 520 of the family's 1533-position model. The record is from RNAcentral.
AAUGAACGCUGGCGGCGUGGAUUAGGCAUGCAAGUCGAACGGGGUAGCAAUACCCAGUGGCGACCUGGACAGUACAAGUUGGGUAACUUGCCCGAAAGUGGGGAACAACGUCCCGAAAGGGGCGCUAAUACCGCAUGUGGUCACGGGGUCCUCGGACUCUUUGACUAAAGCAGCAAUGCGCUUUCGGAUGGGCCCGACUCCCAUUAGCUAGUUGGCGAGGUAAUAGCUCACCAAGGCUACGAUGGGUAGGUGGUCUGAGAGGAUGGACACCGUCACGAGGACUGAGAUACGGCCUCGACUCCUACGGGGGGCAGCAGUCUAGAAGCUUCGGCAAUGGGCGAAAGCCUGACCGAGCGACGCCGCGUGGAGGAUGAAGGUCUUCGGAUUGUAAACUCCUUUCGGCGGGAAAGAACGUCUGGGUGGCGAACUCAGGCUUGACUGACCCGCGGAAGAAGCCCCGGCUAAACUCUGUGCCAGCAGCCGCGG